This is a long non-coding RNA of Diceros bicornis minor, 590 nucleotides long. RefSeq lists it as uncharacterized. The transcript has 4 exons. NCBI's taxonomy places the organism in Eukaryota, Metazoa, Chordata, Mammalia, Perissodactyla, Rhinocerotidae. The record is from RefSeq and is a predicted model, not a curated record.
UAUUUAUACUAUUUCCUUUUCAAAAUAAAUGCAUAGUUCCCUUUGUAUGGUUACUGUGUCAAUUUUUUUUCAAAUUUUAAUUAUUUAUUUAUUUUUGUAGAUGUACACUGCCAAAUGGAAGAAAUUAAAGUUGCAUCCUCAAUAUUAGGCAAAGAAGUUUCUCAGAGUUGAUAACAACGAAAAUGGCAUGAAGGGAAUAGUUCCACUAGGACUUGAUUCAGCAGAGGAAGAAGAUGAGGAAACUGAGACUUAGAUCAAGUAGUUUCCCAAAGUCACAUGGCAAGUGAGUGGAACAGCCAGGAUUCAAACCCAACCAGUUACCAUGAAAUUGGCUAGUCUACUGCAACAACCCACAAAACUCUCUAGGAAAACAGAGGGACGGCAGCAGACCAUGUGCAAAAUGGAAAAGUCGAGCAAGAGCAGUGAAUCCGGUGAUGUCAGCAAUAUGGAGGCCAAGGUCUAAGGUAAGAGAACGCAGCUGCCCUGCAAGUAGGAAUGGAGUUGGAGACGGCUGGAGCACAGGACUGAGGUUUUGUUGUUGUUAUAAACAGAGGACUAUUCUAUUUUUGAAAACUUUUUACAAGUACAAC